GUACACGCUGUGACUAGCAUAUCAAUAAGCGGAGGAAAAGAAACUAACAAGGAUUCCCUCAGUAACGGCGAGUGAAGCGGGAAGAGCUCAAAUUUGAAAUCUUGAAAGGUCACCUUUCACGAAUUGUAGUUUAAAGAAGUGUUUUCUGUUACGAUCGUAAUAUAAGUUCUUUGGAAUAGGACAUCACAGAGGGUGAGAAUCCCGUCUAUGAUUGCGAUUUGUAGCUUUGUGAUACACUUUCAAAGAGUCGGGUUGUUUGGGAAUGCAGCCCAAAACGGGAGGUAAAUUUCUUCUAAGGCUAAAUAUUGGCGAGAGACCGAUAGCGAACAAGUACCGUGAGGGAAAGAUGAAAAGAACUUUGAAAAGAGAGUUAAACAGUACGUGAAAUUGUCAAAAGGGAAGCGUUUGACACCAGUGUUGUUUUCUCGAAAAUCAAUUAAAAAUGGCUCGAUUUUGUAUUGCUGAGACCGUAAAAGCUCACUGUACAUUUUUCGUGUCUUUUUUAAUGCACUUUUCGUUUAACAAGUCAACAUCAGUUUCUUUUGUUGUAAAAGGGUCAUUGGAAGGUGGCUUUCUUUUCGGAGAAAGUGUUUAUAGCCUUUGGCCUCUGCAAUCGGAGAGACUGAGGUCUGCAGCGUAGACUCUUCGGGGUUAGAUACAUUUGUGCUAAGUUAUAGCUUUUUAUAGACAACUUGUUGACUAUAAUUAGUCUUGUAGCUUACUCGCUUAUGCUAUUUUACCUACGCUUAGGAUGUUGAGUAGCGACAUACGCAC
This 774-nucleotide ribosomal RNA is filed under the name uncultured Neocallimastigales. Its description in RNAcentral is "partial large subunit ribosomal RNA". It matches the Rfam family "Eukaryotic large subunit ribosomal RNA", at positions 22 to 649 of the family's 3401-position model. Lineage: Eukaryota; Fungi; Neocallimastigomycota; Neocallimastigomycetes; Neocallimastigales. The record is from RNAcentral.